RNAcentral lists this ribosomal RNA (572 nucleotides) under uncultured bacterium. RNAcentral describes it as "bacterial SSU rRNA". It matches the Rfam family "Bacterial small subunit ribosomal RNA", at positions 338 to 921 of the family's 1533-position model. The record is from RNAcentral.
CCUACGGGAGGCAGCAGUGGGGAAUUUUCCGCAAUGGGCGAAAGCCUGACGGAGCAAUACCGCGUGAGGGAGGAAAGCCUUUGGGUUGUAAACCUCUUUAAUCAGGGAAGAAAAUUUGACGGUACCUGAAAAAAAAGCAUCGGCUAACUCCGUGCCAGCAGCCGCGGUAAUACGGAGGAUGCAAGCGUUAUCCGGAAUAAUUGGGCGUAAAGGGUCCGCAGGUGGCCAUUCAAGUCUGCUGUCAAAGACCGUGGCUCAACCACGGGAAGGCAGUGGAAACUGUUUAGCUAGUAGAGUACGGUAGGGGUAGAGGGAAUUCCCAGUGUAGCGGUGAAAUGCGUAGAUAUUGGGAAGAACACCGGUGGCGAAAGCGCUCUACUGGGCCGAAACUGACACUGAGGGACGAAAGCUAGGGGAGCGAAAGGGAUUAGAUACCCCUGUAGUCCUAGCUGUAAACGAUGGAUACUAGGUGUAGCUUGUAUCGACCCGAGCUGUACCGAAGCUAACGCGUUAAGUAUCCCGCCUGGGGAGUACGCACGCAAGUGUGAAACUCAAAGGAAUCGAAUUGACGG